ACAAAAUCUGAGAUUGUGCUGUUUAUAAGUGUGUGUUGAUCUAGACUAAAAACACUUGAGAGCUAACACAUCAGAAGAUUAGAUUAGAAAGGGCUGACACUGAUUUCUGAAUGUACACACAUUUGUUUUAGGACCUAAUAAUCAUUAACUCUACAUUUUACAGCAGUAUCCUGCAGGAUUUUCACACUGCAGGAGACCCGCUUUUUUAAAACUGUUACCACUCCGGGAUCAUGAUUGUUUACCAAAGCGCAGGCAGAGACAACGACACACAUAUUGACCAAUCAUGUGUGGAUGGAAGAGAAACAAAAGUGUGUGAAAGAGAGUGAGAAGCGAGAAAAAAAUAGCUCCGUUCACUUCUAAGAGCCGUUUCGUUCUCCACCGACCCAUCACUAUUAAACAGGGAUAAACCGGUUUGGUGGAAAAGGCUGAACUUCUGCACAGAUCCCCCUGAUGUAGACUGAUGACAUCAGGAAGGUUUAAGAGCCACGCAUCUCAUCAAUCCUGCAGUGUUUGGAAGUGGUGGGCCACUGGCCGACAUCAGCUAAUGGGACAGAAGUAAACACAGAAAGCCACGCUUCUCUGAGCAACAACAGGCUUUAUUUUAGGAGAUCUUAGAAUCUGAUGGGCUCAAAAACAGGACGGAACCCACCUUCGCCUGAGGUCUUCAGCAAUGGUUGCCCUGCAGCUGAACAAGUAGGCCCUCAGCGACUGGAGCUGCUGACGGAGGCGCAGCACUGUGCUCAACGC
This is a long non-coding RNA of Girardinichthys multiradiatus, 747 nucleotides long. RefSeq lists it as uncharacterized. The record is from RefSeq and is a predicted model, not a curated record. The transcript has 4 exons. Lineage: Eukaryota; Metazoa; Chordata; Actinopteri; Cyprinodontiformes; Goodeidae.